Molecule: long non-coding RNA, 760 nt
Organism: Arabidopsis lyrata subsp. lyrata
Lineage: Eukaryota; Viridiplantae; Streptophyta; Magnoliopsida; Brassicales; Brassicaceae
Exons: 2
Source: RefSeq, a predicted model, not a curated record
AGAAGAUCACAUCGUUGCAGUAGUAAAAGCCAUGAUUAAGAUACCUCAAUUGUUGGACCAUUGGAUCAUCUUUGAUUAUAUUCUCAUAAUUCUGGAGAUUCUGCUCUGAAGGCAUGGAGAACAUAAAAGUAAGCCUUUCUCUGGAGUUCCCUGAGUUUCUCGUUCUUGUCCAUGGAGCUGAACAGGAUAGCAUCGUCACUGCUAUAGCUCGGCAUAGUCUCUGUAUUAUUGAUCGGUAUAUCAGUUGAUUCUACAGCAAACGGAAUCAAGAUCACAAGAAAGUUCACCACCGCUCAGACUAAUUCCAUCAAUGGUAGAGAAAACAGAGAAGGAGAAAACAGAGGAAUCCGAAACUCUAGAAUCGCAAAAGCCAUGAGAAAGUUAACCUGGAAGAGACUUACGAGAUGCUGGAGAAUUUGGGGCUUGAUCUUUGUGGUCCGACAUUGCUGAGAACACAGAGGAAUCGGAGAGAAGAGUCUUGUUGAUGAAGCUUGUGCGUCUUUGAGAGAAACCCUAGAUAGAAAUCGAAGGAUCUUCAACAACGUUGCAUGGGUCGAUGAAAGAAGAAGUUGCGAGAUUUUGGAUUCUCUUACCUUUAGAUGCUCUUUUGGAGUUUUGAACGUAAAAGAGUGAAAUUAUACUUUCUUGUGAGGGAAGUUAGUUCUUGAUCAGUUGAUGAACUUGACUUAAUUGGAUUAAAGUAUCGACACGUCAGCAACUGAAGAAUUUACGGUUAAUAAUUUCAACAUCAUUUACUCAA